Molecule: long non-coding RNA, 1105 nt
Organism: Wasmannia auropunctata (little fire ant)
Lineage: Eukaryota; Metazoa; Arthropoda; Insecta; Hymenoptera; Formicidae
Exons: 4
Source: RefSeq, a predicted model, not a curated record
AGGGACGGUGUAUAUCGGGCCUAGGAAGGAUUGCAACCACGAGGGCUACACAAAUGCCCGAUGCAUUCCCUCUGAUUGUCACAACUGUACAAAACGCCUCGCCCCUCUUCGUCGUCGCAUUUAGAUUGAUCCACCAUAAUUGAUUACAUUUAUCUUUUACGGCAUUGAAAGGUGGAGAGUUAAUCAGUGUAUGACUUGCUGCGAGAAAUAUAAACGGUGAAAUAUUCGAACCCUUCAAAGAUAUUUCAUAUAUAUAGUAUACGGAAUAUGACGACGGCAAGUUUAUUAACGCAUGCAGCAAAUGUGCGCGAAGUAAUGACGUUUGCAGCUUCGCACGCGUAACAAUCGCUGCCUUGGGCAUUCGGCUGCCGUAUAGGAGAAGCCGAGAGCGUUAAUCGAAAUCAUAGCGAAACGACGCACGUAUUGCGCCAACAAUAGGUGAAUUUAGUCUGAUUAAAUGCGGGAGAUAAUUGCGGGAGAUACAGGCCGUCAUGGCGGCGCGGACCGGGAUCGAUGCGCCAGCAUCUCCUGAGACAUGAGGACAGAUUGGAGAGACAGAGAGAGAGAGAGAGAAGCGGGGGAUAAAAUUAUCGGGCUUUGAAACGAUUUUGCCUUUGGGCUGUCAGUUCGCCGAGUUAGCAGUGAUUAAAUGACGGCGGUGGAUCGACGUCCGCGUAAAAUCAGCAGAGCCAAUUGCGUCUGUCGUAAUGGCAGUUAAGACCCGUAAAUCGUUCGAAGUAAAGUCAUCAAUUAUCAUGCGACGACUAUCCCGAGGGAGAAUAGGCCGAAGCUGUCCGAGUUCAUCGUUCACUUGACUGCCGACGUGCAUAACGCUAUUACACUGCAAACUGCGUGCGUCCGUUCGCAAGCGAGGAUAUUGGACCAAUACGUUUACUCAUGUCGAACCUGAAGAUGUUUGACAUAUUGGCCAUGCCGACUAUUUAUGGCCUCCAAUUUUGCCUUGAGAGAUUUCAAAACCAUGACAACAAUCGAGCAAUAUAAAUUUAUACAGGUUGUCCAAUUGCUUUAAAAAAGAGCCUUGGAAAAUGGAUUUGGAAAGUUAAGUAUCUGUGAAUAUAAAUAAAUGAUGUUAUCAAUUAACUAA